RNAcentral lists this ribosomal RNA (367 nucleotides) under Micrococcus luteus. RNAcentral's name for it is "bacterial SSU rRNA". It matches the Rfam family "Bacterial small subunit ribosomal RNA", at positions 1166 to 1531 of the family's 1533-position model. Lineage: Bacteria; Bacillati; Actinomycetota; Actinomycetes; Micrococcales; Micrococcaceae. The record is from RNAcentral.
GAGGAAGGUGGGGAUGACGUCAAAUCAUCAUGCCCCUUAUGUCUUGGGCUUCACGCAUGCUACAAUGGCCGGUACAAUGGGUUGCGAUACUGUGAGGUGGAGCUAAUCCCAAAAAGCCGGUCUCAGUUCGGAUUGGGGUCUGCAACUCGACCCCAUGAAGUCGGAGUCGCUAGUAAUCGCAGAUCAGCAACGCUGCGGUGAAUACGUUCCCGGGCCUUGUACACACCGCCCGUCAAGUCACGAAAGUCGGUAACACCCGAAGCCGGUGGCCUAACCCUUGUGGGGGGAGCCGUCGAAGGUGGGACCAGCGAUUGGGACUAAGUCGUAACAAGGUAGCGUACCGGAAGGUGCGGCUGGAUCACCUCCU